AUGGCGGCGCUUCGAGUCGCGGCGAGGAGGCUCGUCGGCGGCGGCCUGACGCCGGCGCUGCCUGUGGACAAGGCGCAGCCCCGGCUCUUCCCGAGGCUCUCCCAGGUCGGCCGGGCUAGGUCCACCACAUCCUCCGCUGCUGCUGCCGCAGACACCAAUCUGGCGGCGGCCAAGGGCUGUGAAGAUCCGGAGAAACUCCUGACAGAGAUCCAUAACAUGAGAGAGGAGCUGUACGAUAAGGUUUCACAUGUGGAAAGGACCUACGAUAUCCCUGGCAGGGCAGGCAAAAAUAUCAGCCGGCUGCGCGACGAGCUCGCCACGCAAGUGGAUCCUAGACCCGGGGACACCACAUGGCGUGAGUUGCGAGUGCUAACUGUAUUUGGGCGUUACUGCGGAUAUGCGGCUGGUAUGUUUACCUCGUAUGUGCUCGCGCGCAUGGCCACUGGUUGGAUCGUUGAAUUGGAGCCAGAUGAAAAGCAGUGGAUCAAGAAGAAAAGAGAAGAGGCACGCAAGCGGAGUGAAGCAAAGUGA
RNAcentral lists this ribosomal RNA (531 nucleotides) under Triticum aestivum (bread wheat). RNAcentral describes it as "partial small subunit ribosomal RNA". Lineage: Eukaryota; Viridiplantae; Streptophyta; Magnoliopsida; Poales; Poaceae. The record is from RNAcentral.